This 544-nucleotide ribosomal RNA is filed under the name uncultured Methanosaeta sp. Its description in RNAcentral is "bacterial SSU rRNA". It matches the Rfam family "Archaeal small subunit ribosomal RNA", at positions 1 to 526 of the family's 1478-position model. The record is from RNAcentral. Lineage: Archaea; Methanobacteriati; Methanobacteriota; Methanomicrobia; Methanotrichales; Methanotrichaceae.
UUCYGGUUGAUCCAGAAUUCCGUGAUUUGCCGGUUGGUCACGCCACAGGUUACUGCUAUCGAGGUUCGAGUAAGCCAUGCGAGUCGAAUGUAGCAAUACAUGGCGUACUGCUCAGUAACACGUGGACAACCUACCCUCAGGAUGGGGAUAAACCCGGGAAACUGGGUAUAAUACCCAAUAGAUCUGGUCUGCUGGAAUGCUUCCAGAUUUAAAACUCCGGUGCCCUAAGGAUGGGUCUGCGGCCUAUCAGGUUGUAGUGGGUGUAGUGUACCUACUAGCCUACGACGGGUACGGGUUGUGAGAGCAAGAGCCCGGAGAUGGAUUCUGAGACACGAAUCCAGGCCCUACGGGUGCAGCAGGCGCGAAAACUUUACAAUGCCGGCAACGGCGAUAAGGGGACCUCGAGUGCCAGGUUACAAAUCUGGCUGUCGCGAUGCCUAAAAAGCAUUGCAUAGCAAGGCCGGGCAAGACCUUGCCAGCCGCCGCGGUAACACCGGCGGCUCGAGUGGUAACCGUUAUUAUUGGGUCUAAAGGGUCUGUAGCC